Mastomys coucha (southern multimammate mouse) is the source of this 1982-nucleotide long non-coding RNA. RefSeq lists it as uncharacterized. Lineage: Eukaryota; Metazoa; Chordata; Mammalia; Rodentia; Muridae. The record is from RefSeq and is a predicted model, not a curated record. The transcript has 11 exons.
GAUGAACCCUUGUGAGGCUUAUCUCAUGGAAUCCCAGCCCAGUUCUGGGCUGUAAGUGGAGCUCAAUGAGGCCACUGAGCAAGCUGCACAGCUGCAGUUGGAGAAGCACACAUCACUGCCAGGUCUUACUGGUGACCUCACAAUUGACAGAGAUGCUGCCAACCUCCUACAUACCCCAAGAGAGAAGAUGCAGAUUCAUUUUACCAUGGAAACAAGAAUAGUGAAGCAAACUAUUUAGGACCAUAGCAUCGGUACUCAGAGAAUGGAAAAGUGCUGCAAUGUCUUCUAAGGAGUCCAUUUGAGAUCAAAUGGGUAUCUUCAGGAGUGCAUGACGGGUGGAAGAAUCUGCUGCUUUCCCUGCUUGGCAGCUCUACCUCCCUCAUAGGAAUAAUGUUCUCAAUUCACACAGAUUAUGUAAACCCUUGGGGCUUAACAAGGACAAGGAACUGCAGAAUUGAAGGAAAGGUAUAUGGACAGAAACUUGACUGGUUCCUACUGCCCUGAGGCUGAAGACAAAGAGGGACUGCUAAAGGUGACAACACUCUGAAUCAAUGGAAAUGUUCCGAAACUCAACUAAAGUGUACAACUAGGGUCAUACAAUUCUGUAAAUGUACCAAAAACUACUCAGUUGUACACUUCAUGGUCUGUUGAACUCAACUGUUGAACUUCGUGGUAUGUAAUUCCUAACUCCAGUAAAGGAUGAUUAAUGCCUCUCUCAACCUUCAUCUGAGAGCAACCUUCAUCAAAGGAUCUUGUGUUUGCAGUUGAUAAUGAUUAACACAGGCACCGACAACAGCUGGAUCUCAUGGACGCAUAUCCUCAAGGGAGGCUCCAGCUUGUGUCAAGUUGGCACACAAAACCAGCCAGUGCUGUCACAGCAGGACAGCUGCACAAAUGAACUCACGGCAGUUGUGACAGCAUGCCUGUGUCCUGAACAAUCUUAAGCCAGACAAGAAUCCCACAGUGAAAGAGGAGGAAAGCAGAAGAAGUUCAAGAGGUAAACAACUUGAGUGGCUUCAGGAAGUUCCUGAAACUGAACACACUCACUAGGCUUCUCCCUCGCAAAACCAAUCCUCUCGAAAUGUGUUGGAAGUGAAAACAAAGCAGCCAAUCCCAGCACUCAGUGCAUCAAGCAGGACCAUCACACCUCCUCCUUAGUCAGUCAGAGCAGGACCAUCACACUUCCAGUGAUUAGCAGCCAUCAACAGCUCCCUCGGAAGAGCAACAAGGGAGCCACAACUCACAGGAUGAUUUUCAAGAUGAGUUCUGCCUUAUACUAAUAUUAAAGGGGUUAUUAUGGUGAAAAAUCAAGAUAAGUACAGUUACUGCCACUGAACUGAACAUACAAGAUGCAUUAAAACGGUGCUGAAAGAAGCCAGAGAGUCAGGAUGGCGCAGCACUGUCCCGGUGUAAAAGCAGGAGGCGUCUGGCGGCACGGGAGGGCGUGGGUCAGCCGUUGCCCCGGUGGGGUCGGGACCUGGUUUGGGCCACUGCUCCACUGCGAAGCGCUGCGCCAGGAAGCGGCCAUCUCUCCGGAGCAGCAGCACCUGGCUGCAGAGGAGACGCGAACCAGGGCUCAGAUUGGCCUCCGGCGGCUUCUUCCAGGGGUGCCCUGGCCACCGAGCGCACCUCACGCGAGCUGCCUGAAGCCUGCCCCCGGCCGCCGCCCCCAGCGCUGCGCCCGGAUCCCGGCUCUGCGCUGCCCCCGCUGAGGCCCGUGGCGUUCAGCGACUCCCGGCGCCAGAGUGCAGGAAACACGACUUCCCAUUCCUCGAGGUCCGGGGUGAGCUGCAGCCCUGAGGAUGAAGCAGAUAGGUGCGGGGUUUAAAGUGCCACUCAAGCAAGCAACCAGGCACAAGGUCCAUACAGACAGCAGGCGCUUGCACGAAAGCGAGACCACCCGUCUAGCUCCUGAAACUCCUGCAAGCCAAGAAGUCUUACAGACCUUGGCAUUUUCAAAAUAAAAGCGUGUAGUGAUGAUA